This 576-nucleotide ribosomal RNA is filed under the name uncultured eukaryote. Its description in RNAcentral is "SSU rRNA". It matches the Rfam family "Eukaryotic small subunit ribosomal RNA", at positions 203 to 786 of the family's 1831-position model. The record is from RNAcentral.
UUUGUUACUUCAAACCAAUCGGACUUCGGUCUGACAUCAAGUGAUAUUGAACAAUUUAGCUGAUCGCACGGUCUAAGAACCGGCGACAUAUCCUUCAAAUGUCUGCCUUAUCAACUUUCGAUGGUAGAUUAUGCGCCUACCAUGGUUGUAACGGGUAACGGAGAAUCAGGGUUUGAUUCCGGAGAGGGAGCCUGAGAAACGGCUACCACAUCCAAGGAAGGCAGCAGGCACGCAAAUUACCCACUCCCGGCACGGGGAGGUAGUGACGAAAAAUAACAAGCUGGUCUCAAUGAGUUCCAGCAUUGUAAUGGGAACAAUUUAAAUCUUUUAUCGAGGAUCUAUUGGAGGGCAAGUCAGGUGCCAGCAGCCGCGGUAAUUCCAGCUCCAAUAGCGUAUAUUAAAGUUGUUGCGGUUAAAAAGCUCGUAGUUGGAUCUAGGAUUAGGGCUACGGUCGUUCAGCUUGGACGUACUGUAUGCCCGACUCCUUUUCUCUAGUAUUCGAUUGUUGCUCUUAAAUGAGUGACUUUAGUUGCUGGAACUUUUACCUUGAAAAAAUUGAAGUGCUCAAAGCAGGUU